Pristis pectinata (smalltooth sawfish) is the source of this 374-nucleotide long non-coding RNA. RefSeq lists it as uncharacterized. Lineage: Eukaryota; Metazoa; Chordata; Chondrichthyes; Rhinopristiformes; Pristidae. The record is from RefSeq and is a predicted model, not a curated record. The transcript has 3 exons.
AGAUACCACAAAGUCUGAGCAGUCGCUGAGCUGGGAGAAACAGAAGAGGAAGACACAGUUGGAUGCCACCUCUGGUUCAGAUGUUGGCAGCCCUGGACAGGACAAGGGAAAAUGCUUCAGAAGGACUUCAUUGGCUAUAAAGUGUUUUCUGGGAUGAAAAGUGCAAUAUGUACGGUGGAGAGCAUCCUGACUGGUUGCAUCACCACCUGGUAUGGUGGUGGUCCAAUGCACAGGAUCCCAAGAGGCUGGAGAGGGUUUUAGACUUAGCCAGCUCCAUCACAGGAACAACCUUCCCCACCAUCAAGGACAUCUUCAAGAGGCGGUGCCUCGGGAAGGCAGCAUCCAUCACUAAGGACCCUCACCAUCCAGGACAU